Molecule: ribosomal RNA, 465 nt
Filed under: Vreelandella stevensii
Lineage: Bacteria; Pseudomonadati; Pseudomonadota; Gammaproteobacteria; Oceanospirillales; Halomonadaceae
Description: partial 16S ribosomal RNA
Rfam family: Bacterial small subunit ribosomal RNA
Source: RNAcentral
CCUACGGGUGGCAGCAGUGGGGAAUAUUGGACAAUGGGCGAAAGCCUGAUCCAGCCAUGCCGCGUGUGUGAAGAAGGCCUUCGGGUUGUAAAGCACUUUCAGUGGGGAAGAAAGCCUUGGGGCUAAUACCCUCGAGGAAGGACAUCACCCACAGAAGAAGCACCGGCUAACUCCGUGCCAGCAGCCGCGGUAAUACGGAGGGUGCGAGCGUUAAUCGGAAUUACUGGGCGUAAAGCGCGCGUAGGCGGUCUGAUAAGCCGGUUGUGAAAGCCCCGGGCUCAACCUGGGAACGGCAUCCGGAACUGUCAGGCUAGAGUGCAGGAGAGGAAGGUAGAAUUCCCGGUGUAGCGGUGAAAUGCGUAGAGAUCGGGAGGAAUACCAGUGGCGGAGGCGGCCUUCUGGACUGACACUGACGCUGAGGUGCGAAAGCGUGGGUAGCAAACAGGAUUAGAUACCCCUGUAGUC